RNAcentral lists this ribosomal RNA (120 nucleotides) under Pteropus alecto (black flying fox). The record is from RNAcentral. Lineage: Eukaryota; Metazoa; Chordata; Mammalia; Chiroptera; Pteropodidae.
GUUUAUGGCCAUGCCGUACUGAACUCGCCCAAUUUCGUCCGAUCUCGGAAGCUAAGCAGGGUUGGGCCUGAUUAGUACUUGGAUGGGAGACCACCUAGGAAUACCGGGUGCCAGUAGGUU